This 1220-nucleotide ribosomal RNA is filed under the name Halomonas aidingensis. RNAcentral describes it as "bacterial SSU rRNA". It matches the Rfam family "Bacterial small subunit ribosomal RNA", at positions 115 to 1332 of the family's 1533-position model. The record is from RNAcentral. Lineage: Bacteria; Pseudomonadati; Pseudomonadota; Gammaproteobacteria; Oceanospirillales; Halomonadaceae.
GCAUAGGAAUCUGCCCGGUAGUGGGGGAUAACCUGGGGAAACUCAGGCUAAUACCGCAUACGUCCUACGGGAGAAAGCAGGGGCUCUUCGGACCUUGCGCUAUCGGAUGAGCCUAUGUCGGAUUAGCUGGUUGGUGAGGUAAUGGCUCACCAAGGCGACGAUCCGUAGCUGGUCUGAGAGGAUGAUCAGCCACAUCGGGACUGAGACACGGCCCGAACUCCUACGGGAGGCAGCAGUGGGGAAUAUUGGACAAUGGGGGCAACCCUGAUCCAGCCAUGCCGCGUGUGUGAAGAAGGCCUUCGGGUUGUAAAGCACUUUCAGUGGGGAAGAAGGCCUUGGGGCUAAUACCCUCGAGGAAGGACAUCACCCACAGAAGAAGCACCGGCUAACUCCGUGCCAGCAGCCGCGGUAAUACGGAGGGUGCGAGCGUUAAUCGGAAUUACUGGGCGUAAAGCGCGCGUAGGUGGCUUGAUAAGCCGGUUGUGAAAGCCCCGGGCUCAACCUGGGAACGGCAUCCGGAACUGUCAGGCUAGAGUGCAGGAGAGGAAGGUAGAAUUCCCGGUGUAGCGGUGAAAUGCGUAGAGAUCGGGAGGAAUACCAGUGGCGAAGGCGGCCUUCUGGACUGACACUGACACUGAGGUGCGAAAGCGUGGGUAGCAAACAGGAUUAGAUACCCUGGUAGUCCACGCCGUAAACGAUGUCGACUAGCCGUUGGGUCCCUUGAGGACUUUGUGGCGCAGUUAACGCGAUAAGUCGACCGCCUGGGGAGUACGGCCGCAAGGUUAAAACUCAAAUGAAUUGACGGGGGCCCGCACAAGCGGUGGAGCAUGUGGUUUAAUUCGAUGCAACGCGAAGAACCUUACCUACCCUUGACAUCGUGCGAACUUGGUAGAGAUACCUUGGUGCCUUCGGGAGCGCACAGACAGGUGCUGCAUGGCUGUCGUCAGCUCGUGUUGUGAAAUGUUGGGUUAAGUCCCGUAACGAGCGCAACCCUUGUCCCUAUUUGCCAGCGAUUCGGUCGGGAACUCUAGGGAGACUGCCGGUGACAAACCGGAGGAAGGUGGGGACGACGUCAAGUCAUCAUGGCCCUUACGGGUAGGGCUACACACGUGCUACAAUGGCCGGUACAAAGGGUUGCGAAGCCGCGAGGUGGAGCCAAUCCCGAAAAGCCGGUCUCAGUCCGGAUCGGAGUCUGCAACUCGACUCCGUGAAGUCGGAAU